CGGCCACAUCGCUUUCCGUACGAUCACCGAAGUUAAGCAACGUCGAGUCUGGUCAGUACUUAGAUGGUUGACCGCUUGGAAAUGCCAAAUGCUGUAA
Non-coding RNA from Acanthosepion pharaonis, 97 nucleotides. The record is from the annotation of a GenBank genome assembly. Lineage: Eukaryota; Metazoa; Mollusca; Cephalopoda; Sepiida; Sepiidae.